RNAcentral lists this ribosomal RNA (931 nucleotides) under Burkholderia sp. Its description in RNAcentral is "bacterial SSU rRNA". It matches the Rfam family "Bacterial small subunit ribosomal RNA", at positions 57 to 984 of the family's 1533-position model. The record is from RNAcentral. Lineage: Bacteria; Pseudomonadati; Pseudomonadota; Betaproteobacteria; Burkholderiales; Burkholderiaceae.
GCAGUCGANNGGCAGCACGGGGGCAACCCUGGUGGCGAGUGGCGAACGGGUGAGUAAUACAUCGGAACGUGUCCUGUAGUGGGGGAUAGCCCGGCGAAAGCCGGAUUAAUACCGCAUACGAUCUACGGAAGAAAGCGGGGGAUCUUCGGACCUCGCGCUAUAGGGGCGGCCGAUGGCAGAUUAGCUAGUUGGUGGGGUAAAGGCCUACCAAGGCGACGAUCUGUAGCUGGUCUGAGAGGACGACCAGCCACACUGGGACUGAGACACGGCCCAGACUCCUACGGGAGGCAGCAGUGGGGAAUUUUGGACAAUGGGGGAAACCCUGAUCCAGCAAUGCCGCGUGUGUGAAGAAGGCCUUCGGGUUGUAAAGCACUUUUGUCCGGAAAGAAAACUUCGGGGCUAAUACCUCUGGAGGAUGACGGUACCGGAAGAAUAAGCACCGGCUAACUACGUGCCAGCAGCCGCGGUAAUACGUAGGGUGCGAGCGUUAAUCGGAAUUACUGGGCGUAAAGCGUGCGCAGGCGGUCUGUUAAGACAGAUGUGAAAUCCCCGGGCUUAACCUGGGAACUGCAUUUGUGACUGGCAGGCUAGAGUAUGGCAGAGGGGGGUAGAAUUCCACGUGUAGCAGUGAAAUGCGUAGAGAUGUGGAGGAAUACCGAUGGCGAAGGCAGCCCCCUGGGCCAAUACUGACGCUCAUGCACGAANGCGUGGGGAGCAANCAGGAUUAGAUACCCUGGUAGUCCACGCCCUAAACGAUGUCAACUAGUUGUUGGGGAUUCAUUUCCUUAGUAACGUAGCUAACGCGUGAAGUUGACCGCCUGGGGAGUACGGUCGCAAGAUUAAAACUCAAAGGAAUUGACGGGGACCCGCACAAGCGGUGNNNNNUNNGNNUUAUUNCGAUGCAACGCGAAAAAACNUUACCUACCCUUGA